RNAcentral lists this ribosomal RNA (324 nucleotides) under uncultured bacterium. RNAcentral's name for it is "partial 16S ribosomal RNA". It matches the Rfam family "Bacterial small subunit ribosomal RNA", at positions 1 to 334 of the family's 1533-position model. The record is from RNAcentral.
CUAUGCGCCUUGCCAGCCCGCUCAGUCAGAGUUUGAUCCUGGCUCAGGAUGAACGCUGGCGGUAUGCUUAACACAUGCAAGUCGAACGGGGCUCUUCGGAGUUCAGUGGCGGACGGGUGAGUAACGCGUGAGAAUCUGGCCUCAGGUUUGGGACAACCACUGGAAACGGUGGCUAAUACCGGAUAUGCCUUAAGGUGAAAGAUUAAUUGCCUGAGGAUGAGCUCGCGUCUGAUUAGCUAGUUGGUGGGGUAAGAGCCUACCAAGCGCGAUCAGUAGCUGGUCUGAGAGGACGGUCAGCCACACUGGGACUGAGACACGGCCCAG